RNAcentral lists this ribosomal RNA (490 nucleotides) under uncultured bacterium. Its description in RNAcentral is "partial 16S ribosomal RNA". It matches the Rfam family "Bacterial small subunit ribosomal RNA", at positions 30 to 507 of the family's 1533-position model. The record is from RNAcentral.
AUUGAACGCUGGCGGCAGGCCUAACACAUGCAAGUCGAACGGUAACAGGAAGAAGCUUGCUUCUUUGCUGACGAGUGGCGGAUGGGUGAGUAAUGUCUGGGAAACUGCCUGAUGGAGGGGGAUAACUACUGGAAACGGUAGCUAAUACCGCAUAAUGUCGCAAGACCAAAGAGGGGGACCUUCGGGCCUCUUGCCAUCGGAUGUGCCCAGAUGGGAUUAGCUAGUAGGUGGGGUAACGGCUCACCUAGGCGACGAUCCCUAGCUGGUCUGAGAGGAUGACCAGCCACACUGGAACUGAGACACGGUCCAGACUCCUACGGGAGGCAGCAGUGGGGAAUAUUGCACAAUGGGCGCAAGCCUGAUGCAGCUAUGCCGCGUGUAUGAAGAAGGCCUUCGGGUUGUAAAGUACUUUCAGCGGGGAGGAAGGGAGUAAAGUUAAUACCUUUGCUCAUUGACGUUACCCGCAGAAGAAGCACCGGCUAACUCCGUG